GUACACUCCUACGGGAGGCAGCAGUGGGGAAUUUUGGACAAUGGGCGAAAGCCUGAUCCAGCCAUGCCGCGUGCAGGAUGAAGGCCUUCGGGUUGUAAACUGCUUUUGUACGGAACGAAACGGCCUUUUCUAAUAAAGCGGGCUAAUGACGGUACCGUAAGAAUAAGCACCGGCUAACUACGUGCCAGCAGCCGCGGUAAUACGUAGGGUGCAAGCGUUAAUCGGAAUUACUGGGCGUAAAGCGUGCGCAGGCGGUUAUGUAAGACAGUUGUGAAAUCCCCGGGCUCAACCUGGGAACUGCAUCUGUGACUGCAUAGCUAGAGUACGGUAGAGGGGGAUGGAAUACCGCGUGUAGCAGUGAAAUGCGUAGAUAUGCGGAGGAACACCGAUGGCGAAGGCAAUCCCCUGGACCUGUACUGACGCUCAUGCACGAAAGCGUGGGGAGCAAACAGGAUUAGAAACCCCGGUAGUCCCAUGAU
Molecule: ribosomal RNA, 479 nt
Filed under: uncultured organism
Description: partial 16S ribosomal RNA
Rfam family: Bacterial small subunit ribosomal RNA
Source: RNAcentral